GGUAUUAUAUUUUCCAAAUUGUCAGAUGAUCCCAAACAAAAAAAAUCCAAACCCCUAAAAUCAAUGGCAGUCCCUUAAAUAUCACUGUGACAAGAACACUUAACAGUAAUAUACAGAAUCAUCCAUCCUACUAUACCAUCCACAGUCCAACACAGGUUAGUUAACUUCUGUGCAAUGAAUUCCCAGCCCCUGGGACCAGAUGUGUCAGGAUAGAGAGACAGACAGAGGGAGGGGGAAGAUAGUAACAGCAACAAAACAUUUUCCUACGAAACUUGUACACAUCUCUCCAAGUCUAACAGGUGCAACUACAGUCUAGACAUCCCCUCACAGUUCUCUGACAAACAAGUUUCCCCAUAACAUAUGUCCCCAGAGCUACUCCCCUGUAGACCGGAGAUGGCCUUUUCUUCAAGAACUCAACUUUCACUUGGCAAAUAAAACCAACCCCUAGCAAGCCUCCCUCACACAGAACCAUCUUAGGCUGUUCCUGUGGAAAAUCCAAUUGGGAAAAAAAGACCUCCAAACCAUCACCUCCUCCAAGUGCAGACCUCCUCCAGGCUGGCCAUCACCAUCCAAGGGUG
This 578-nucleotide long non-coding RNA is filed under the name Pan troglodytes (chimpanzee). Its description in RNAcentral is "long non-coding RNA NONPTRT003397". Lineage: Eukaryota; Metazoa; Chordata; Mammalia; Primates; Hominidae. The record is from RNAcentral.